Orbilia blumenaviensis is the source of this 102-nucleotide non-coding RNA. NCBI's taxonomy places the organism in Eukaryota, Fungi, Ascomycota, Orbiliomycetes, Orbiliales, Orbiliaceae. The record is from the annotation of a GenBank genome assembly.
GCGUUUGUGGUUUAGUGGUAAAAUUGAUCGUUGCCAUGAUUCGAAUCUUCCAGAUUCGGUCAGCGUAUCGAUCAGCCCCGGGUUCGAUUCCCGGCGGACGCA